Molecule: ribosomal RNA, 487 nt
Filed under: uncultured bacterium
Lineage: Bacteria
Description: partial 16S ribosomal RNA
Rfam family: Bacterial small subunit ribosomal RNA
Source: RNAcentral
GAUGAACGCUAGCGAUAGGCUUAACACAUGCAAGUCGAGGGGCAGCACAAGGUAGCUUGCUAUCUGGGUGGCGACCGGCGCACGGGUGCGUAACGCGUAUGCAACUUGCCCUAUACAGGAGGAUAACCCGUCGAAAGACGGACUAAUACUGCGUAUGCUCACAACUUGGCAUCAAGUGGUGAGGAAAGAAAUUCGGUAUAGGAUAGGCAUGCGUCCCAUUAGCUUGUUGGUGAGGUAACGGCUCACCAAGGCAACGAUGGGUAGGGGAACUGAGAGGUUUAUCCCCCACACUGGUACUGAGACACGGACCAGACUCCUACGGGAGGCAGCAGUGAGGAAUAUUGGUCAAUGGGCGCGAGCCUGAACCAGCCAAGUCGCGUGAAGGACGACUGUCUUAUGGAUUGUAAACUUCUUUUAUACGGGAAUAACAAGAGUCACGUGUGACUCCCUGCAUGUACCGUAUGAAUAAGCAUCGGCUAACUCCGUG